This 492-nucleotide ribosomal RNA is filed under the name uncultured bacterium. Its description in RNAcentral is "partial 16S ribosomal RNA". It matches the Rfam family "Bacterial small subunit ribosomal RNA", at positions 28 to 507 of the family's 1533-position model. The record is from RNAcentral.
GAUGAACGCUAGCUAUAGGCUUAACACAUGCAAGUCGAGGGGAAACGGCAUUAUGUGCUUGCACAUUUUGGACGUCGACCGGCGCACGGGUGAGUAUCGCGUAUCCAACCUGCCCUUUACUUGGGGAUACCCCGUUGAAAGACGGCCUAAUACCCGAUGUAAUUCAUUGAUGGCAUCAGAUAUGAAUAAAAGAUUUAUCGGUAAAGGAUGGGGAUGCGUCUGAUUAGCUUGUUGGUGAGGUAACGGCUCACCAAGGCGACGAUCAGUAGGGGUUCUGAGAGGAAGGUCCCCCACAUUGGAACUGAGACACGGUCCAAACUCCUACGGGAGGCAGCAGUGAGGAAUAUUGGUCAAUGGGCGCAAGCCUGAACCAGCCAAGUAGCGUGCAGGAAGACGGCCCUAUGGGUUGUAAACUGCUUUUAUACGAGAAUAAUUUGAUGCACGUGUGCGUUAUUGCAUGUAUCGCAUGAAUAAGGACCGGCUAAUUCCGUG